RNAcentral lists this transfer RNA (72 nucleotides) under Bos taurus (domestic cattle). It matches the Rfam family "tRNA". Rfam says of the family: Transfer RNA (tRNA) molecules are approximately 80 nucleotides in length. Their secondary structure includes four short double-helical elements and three loops (D, anti-codon, and T loops). Further hydrogen bonds mediate the characteristic L-shaped molecular structure. tRNAs have two regions of fundamental functional importance: the anti-codon, which is responsible for specific mRNA codon recognition, and the 3' end, to which the tRNAs corresponding amino acid is attached (by aminoacyl-tRNA synthetases). tRNAs cope with the degeneracy of the genetic code in two manners: having more than one tRNA (with a specific anti-codon) for a particular amino acid; and 'wobble' base-pairing, i.e. permitting non-standard base-pairing at the 3rd anti-codon position. Lineage: Eukaryota; Metazoa; Chordata; Mammalia; Artiodactyla; Bovidae. RNAcentral also lists the same sequence under 4 other names. The record is from Rfam by way of RNAcentral.
UCCCAUGUAGCUCAGUAGGUAAAGAAUCUGCCUGCAAUGCAGAAGACCCGGGUUCGAUCCCUGGGUUGGGAA